AAGGUGGGGAUGACGUCAAGUCCUCAUGGCCUUUAUGACCAGGGCUACACACGUACUACAAUGGCCGAUACAAAGGGCAGCGACACUGCGAGGUGAAGCCAAUCCCGUAAAAUCGGUCUCAGUCCGGAUUGGAGUCUGCAACUCGACUCCAUGAAGUUGGAAUCGCUAGUAAUCGUGGAUCAGCAUGCCACGGUGAAUACGUUCCCGGGCCUU
RNAcentral lists this ribosomal RNA (213 nucleotides) under uncultured Desulfobulbus sp. RNAcentral's name for it is "partial 16S ribosomal RNA". It matches the Rfam family "Bacterial small subunit ribosomal RNA", at positions 1170 to 1382 of the family's 1533-position model. The record is from RNAcentral. Lineage: Bacteria; Pseudomonadati; Thermodesulfobacteriota; Desulfobulbia; Desulfobulbales; Desulfobulbaceae.